Molecule: transfer RNA, 72 nt
Filed under: Candidatus Nomurabacteria bacterium
Lineage: Bacteria; Candidatus Nomuraibacteriota
Description: tRNA-Phe
Rfam family: tRNA
About the family: Transfer RNA (tRNA) molecules are approximately 80 nucleotides in length. Their secondary structure includes four short double-helical elements and three loops (D, anti-codon, and T loops). Further hydrogen bonds mediate the characteristic L-shaped molecular structure. tRNAs have two regions of fundamental functional importance: the anti-codon, which is responsible for specific mRNA codon recognition, and the 3' end, to which the tRNAs corresponding amino acid is attached (by aminoacyl-tRNA synthetases). tRNAs cope with the degeneracy of the genetic code in two manners: having more than one tRNA (with a specific anti-codon) for a particular amino acid; and 'wobble' base-pairing, i.e. permitting non-standard base-pairing at the 3rd anti-codon position.
Source: RNAcentral
GGUACCUUAACUCAGUUGGUAGAGUGCUCGACUGAAAAUCGGGUUACCCUGGUUCGAUUCCAGGAGGUACCA